This 251-nucleotide ribosomal RNA is filed under the name uncultured prokaryote. RNAcentral describes it as "partial 16S rRNA". It matches the Rfam family "Bacterial small subunit ribosomal RNA", at positions 525 to 775 of the family's 1533-position model. The record is from RNAcentral.
ACGAAGGGUGCAAGCGUUGUUCGGAAUUACUGGGCGUAAAGGGCGAGUAGGCGGUUAGACAAGUUAGGUGUGAAAGGCCUGGGCUCAACCUGGGAAUUGCACUUAAGACUGUCUGGCUUGAGUAUGGGAGAGGAUAGCGGAAUUCCAAGUGUAGAGGUGAAAUUCGUAGAUAUUUGGAAGAACACCGGUGGCGAAGGCGGCUAUCUGGACCAUAACUGACGCUGAGGCGCGAAAGCGUGGGGAGCAAACAG